RNAcentral lists this ribosomal RNA (253 nucleotides) under uncultured bacterium. Its description in RNAcentral is "partial 16S ribosomal RNA". It matches the Rfam family "Bacterial small subunit ribosomal RNA", at positions 524 to 776 of the family's 1533-position model. The record is from RNAcentral.
UACGGAGGGGGCGAGCGUUGUUCGGAAUCAUUGGGCGUAAAGGGCGCGUAGGCGGUCGGGUAAGUCGGUUGUGAAAUCCCCUGGCUUAACCAGGGAAGUGCGUCCGAAACUGCCUGACUAGAGGCCGGGAGAGGAGAGUGGAAUUCCCAGUGUAGCGGUGAAAUGCGUAGAUAUUGGGAGGAACACCGGUGGCGAAGGCGGCUCUCUGGACCGGUUCUGACGCUGAGGCGCGAAAGCUAGGGGAGCAAACAGG